This 554-nucleotide small RNA is filed under the name Pongo abelii (Sumatran orangutan). RNAcentral's name for it is "processed transcript". The record is from RNAcentral. Lineage: Eukaryota; Metazoa; Chordata; Mammalia; Primates; Hominidae.
AGAAACCCAAAAAGGAGGACGGCAGCCCCAAGGAGGAGACCGACAAGUGGUCAGUGGAGAAGGGCAAGGACCACAAAGAGCCCCGAAAGGGCGAGGAGGUGGAGGAGGAGUGGACGCCUACGGAGAAAGUCAGUAUCCCUGCAGGGCCAUUGUGCAGACGGUCCCCAUCUGGAUGACAUCUGUGGCUACGCCCUGGGGGACCUCUACCUGUGAUUUCACAUGUGUCCCCUGAGAGCUGGGCAUGGUCAGCCCAUUCUCCAGAUGGGGCAGCUGAGGCCCAGGGAGGGGAAGCACAGGCUGGGAUUGGAAGCAGCUCCUGGCCUGGCUUUGAGUCGAUUCCAGGUGGGCUGGUGCAGGGCACCAGGGAGCCACCAGCUGACCAGAGCUGCCCUCUGACUGGUGCCCCCGAUGUGCUGGGAGUGGGCUCUGGGCUCCUUGGUUCUGUGUUUGGUGGAGGGAAGGAUGGAGCUAGUGAGCCACCAGUCUGGGGUACGCAUCCUCAGAGUGUCCCCCCAUUGGGAUGGAGUCACACCGUAUCGAGGACAACCAGAUCC